This 278-nucleotide ribosomal RNA is filed under the name uncultured prokaryote. RNAcentral describes it as "partial 16S ribosomal RNA". It matches the Rfam family "Bacterial small subunit ribosomal RNA", at positions 524 to 800 of the family's 1533-position model. The record is from RNAcentral.
UACGAAGGGUGCAAGCGUUAAUCGGAAUUACUGGGCGUAAAGCGCGCGUAGGUGGUUCGUUAAGUUAGGAGUGAAAGCCCCCGGGCUCAACCUGGGAAUUGCUUCUAAAACUGGCGAGCUAGAGUAUGGUAGAGGGUGGUGGAAUUUCCUGUGUAGCGGUGAAAUGCGUAGAUAUAGGAAGGAACAUCAGUGGCGAAGGCGACCACCUGGACUGAUACUGACACUGAGGUGCGAAAGCGUGGGGAGCAAACAGGAUUAGAUACCCCUGUAGUCCCUGA